GUUAGCGGCGGACGGGUGAGUAACACGUGGAUAACCUACCUAUAAGACUGGGAUAACUUCGGGAAACCGGAGCUAAUACCGGAUAAUAUUUUGAACCGCAUGGUUCAAAAGUGAAAGACGGUCUUACUGUCACUUAUAGAUGGAUCCGCGCUGCAUUAGCUAGUUGGUAAGGUAACGGCUUACCAAGGCAACGAUGCAUAGCCGACCUGAGAGGGUGAUCGGCCACACUGGAACUGAGACACGGUCCAGACUCCUACGGGAGGCAGCAGUAGGGAAUCUUCCGCAAUGGGCGAAAGCCUGACGGAGCAACGCCGCGUGAGUGAUGAAGGUCUUCGGAUCGUAAAACUCUGUUAUUAGGGAAGAACAUAUGUGUAAGUAACUGUGCACAUCUUGACGGUACCUAAUCAGAAAGCCACGGCUAACUACGUGCCAGCAGCCGCGGUAAUACGUAGGUGGCAAGCGUUAUCCGGAAUUAUUGGGCGUAAAGCGCGCGUAGGCGGUUUUUUAAGUCUGAUGUGAAAGCCCACGGCUCAACCGUGGAGGGUCAUUGGAAACUGGAAAACUUGAGUGCAGAAGAGGGAAGUGGAAUUCCAUGUGUAGCGGUGAAAUGCGCAGAGAUAUGGAGGAACACCAGUGGCGAAGGCGACUUUCUGGUCUGUAACUGACGCUGAUGUGCGAAAGCGUGGGGAUCAAACAGGAUUAGAUACCCUGGUAGUCCACGCCGUAAACGAUGAGUGCUAAGUGUU
Molecule: ribosomal RNA, 746 nt
Filed under: uncultured Staphylococcus sp.
Lineage: Bacteria; Bacillati; Bacillota; Bacilli; Caryophanales; Staphylococcaceae
Description: bacterial SSU rRNA
Rfam family: Bacterial small subunit ribosomal RNA
Source: RNAcentral